CGGAUAGGUCGAAGAGUCGCAAUCGUAACACUCAAAACCUACAUGAAUAUGGUUACUGUAUAAUUCAUCCUUUUGACCCCUGUGUUUAGGAUGACUCAGGAUUAAACUGUCAACCCUGAUCAGAUCAUCCGAAUCGUGCUCAACUCAAACAGUCCUGUGACUCCUCACAAGGACUACCCUGGUCAAGAUUUUGCUAAAUUGAAACACAACUAUACACAACUCCUAAACUGGAGUGGUCAAUCCCAUCUUGACACACGCACCGACAAGUCAAGUACUUGACUACACCCAGCAACCUUCCAUCACUGAAUUAAAAAUUCAGGUAGUCCAGUGCCUAAGUGCAGUGAGUUGCUUGCAAGUCAUCAUGGCGGUCUC
RNAcentral lists this long non-coding RNA (372 nucleotides) under Elaeis guineensis (African oil palm). RNAcentral's name for it is "long non-coding RNA (EGUI_LNC045011)". Lineage: Eukaryota; Viridiplantae; Streptophyta; Magnoliopsida; Arecales; Arecaceae. The record is from RNAcentral.